ACAUGAUCAAGCACAAGUACAUUC
This 24-nucleotide small RNA is filed under the name Arabidopsis thaliana (thale cress). RNAcentral's name for it is "ATSL107690". Lineage: Eukaryota; Viridiplantae; Streptophyta; Magnoliopsida; Brassicales; Brassicaceae. The record is from RNAcentral.